CCUACGGGAGGCAGCAGUGAGGAAUAUUGGUCAAUGGGCGCGAGGCUGAACCAGCCAAGUCGCGUGAGGGAAGAAGGUCCUAUGGAUUGUAAACCUCUUUUGUCGGGGAGCAAAAGACGCCACGCGUGGCGGACCGAGAGUACCCGAAGAAAAAGCAUCGGCUAACUCCGUGCCAGCAGUCGCGGUAAUACGGAGGAUGCGAGCGUUAUCCGGAUUUAUUGGGUUUAAAGGGUGCGCAGGCGGAAGAUUAAGUCAGCGGUAAAAUUGAGAGGCUCAACCUCUUCGAGCCGUUGAAACUGGUUUUCUUGAGUGAGCGAGAAGUAUGCGGAAUGCGUGGUGUAGCGGUGAAAUGCAUAGAUAUCACGCAGAACUCCGAUUGCGAAGGCAGCAUACCGGCGCCCAACUGACGCUCAUGCACGAAAGUGUGGGUAUCGAACAGGAUUAGAUACCCUUGUAGUC
Molecule: ribosomal RNA, 459 nt
Filed under: uncultured bacterium
Lineage: Bacteria
Description: partial 16S ribosomal RNA
Rfam family: Bacterial small subunit ribosomal RNA
Source: RNAcentral